CGCGUGGGAACCUGCCCUGUGGUACGGAAUAACUCCGGGAAACUGGAGCUAAUACCGUAUGUGUCCUGCGGGACAAAGAUUUAUCGCCAUGGGAUGGGCCCGCGUAGGAUUAGCUUGUUGGUGGGGUAACGGCCUACCAAGGCUUCGAUCCUUAGCUGGUCUGAGAGGAUGAUCAGCCACACUGGGACUGAGACACGGCCCAGACUCCUACGGGAGGCAGCAGUGGGGAAUAUUGGACAAUGGGCGCAAGCCUGAUCCAGCAAUGCCGCGUGAGUGAUGAAGGCCUUCGGGUUGUAAAGC
RNAcentral lists this ribosomal RNA (300 nucleotides) under uncultured Skermanella sp. RNAcentral's name for it is "bacterial SSU rRNA". It matches the Rfam family "Bacterial small subunit ribosomal RNA", at positions 114 to 431 of the family's 1533-position model. Lineage: Bacteria; Pseudomonadati; Pseudomonadota; Alphaproteobacteria; Rhodospirillales; Azospirillaceae. The record is from RNAcentral.